AUCCAAAACCACUUGGCUCUCAUUCUUGGUAACAGAGCAGGAGAUCUAUCCUCCGUUGCUCAAAUUAGCAAACUGAGGGUAGGGCAGGUCUAUGCAGCAUCAGUGAUGUAUGGUUACUUUCUUAAGCGAGUUGACCAAAGGUUCCAGCUGGAGAAGUCGAUGAAAGUUCUUACAAGUGCAUCAGACGAUAGUAGUAUUCAUCAAACUAUUGUGGAUGAUGCAAGACCUGGUAGUGAAGUGGACACUUCCCAAGUGACAUCUCAUCCUGAAGUAUCUACUUGGCCUGGCGGCGAUGUCAGUCCUGGUGGAUUUGGC
RNAcentral lists this long non-coding RNA (315 nucleotides) under Medicago truncatula (barrel medic). Its description in RNAcentral is "long non-coding RNA (MTRU_LNC006742)". Lineage: Eukaryota; Viridiplantae; Streptophyta; Magnoliopsida; Fabales; Fabaceae. The record is from RNAcentral.